UUUCCGGUUUCCUGCCACCUAGCUUUUGGACGUCGAAAUCCCGACCCUAAACUUUUUUAUUGGAUCAUGCUUGUAAGUGUUUCCACUUAGAGGAAAAAGUUUGUGGAAAAUUGAAAUUUGAGGAAAUAUUAGGGAAAUUUAUCUUUGGAUGUGGAAGCACUGACUAAACAAAAUGGCGUCCGCUUAUUCGGAAAAUUAAAAAAAAAAAUUAAAAAAAAAAGUUAAAACCGACCUACCCUACCUAAGUUUUUAUAAGAAGAAACCGGAAACCCACAUAUUUUUUUUUUGGCCUUACUAUAUUGGUGCGCGAAACAUGGAACGAUUACGAAUUUUGGUCGCGUCGAGUGCAAUUAAGACAAUGGAUAAUGAGAUGAUAAACCUCAUUAAGCUUCAUUAUCUAUUCUUUGAAUUGCAUUCGACGCGACC
Non-coding RNA from Paramuricea clavata, 426 nucleotides. NCBI's taxonomy places the organism in Eukaryota, Metazoa, Cnidaria, Anthozoa, Malacalcyonacea, Plexauridae. The record is from the annotation of a GenBank genome assembly.